UUAGUUGAGUUGAGUUGAGUAUGUAUAAUGCACAUGAACAUGUGCUUAUCUUUCAGACAGUUAAUGUUUUGCAUAUUAGAUGCUAGCAAAUUAUGAAAAACUUGACUCUCUUGAAAGUUGCCCGUCUUUAUACAUGUAUCACUGAAGUUGAUGCAUUUGGACAGGAACUCGUUUUUGAAAUUCAUUGCUGUGAUUGUUUGUCCCUAUGUAAUUGCUGGCUGAGAUUUUCUCUCAUCAGCAUUGAUUCUUGUUUUUCUUCUU
This 261-nucleotide unclassified non-coding RNA is filed under the name Hevea brasiliensis (rubber tree). Lineage: Eukaryota; Viridiplantae; Streptophyta; Magnoliopsida; Malpighiales; Euphorbiaceae. The record is from RNAcentral.